GUCUAUGGCUGUACCACCCUGAACGUGCCCGAUCUUGUCUGAUCUUGGAAGCUAAGCAGGGUCAGGCCGGGUUAGUACUUGGAUGGGAGACUCCCUGGGAAUACCGGGUACUAUAGGCU
Ribosomal RNA from Propithecus coquereli (Coquerel's sifaka), 119 nucleotides. The record is from Ensembl. Lineage: Eukaryota; Metazoa; Chordata; Mammalia; Primates; Indriidae.